UACGGAGGAUCCGAGCGUUAUCCGGAUUUAUUGGGUUUAAAGGGUGCGUAGGCGGUUUGAUAAGUUAGAGGUGAAAUGUCGGGGCUCAACCCCGAAACUGCCUCUAAUACUGUUGGACUAGAGAAUAGUUGCGGUAGGCGGAAUGUAUGGUGUAGCGGUGAAAUGCUUAGAGAUCAUACAGAACACCGAUUGCGAAGGCAGCUUACCAAACUAUAUCUGACACUGAGGCUCGAAAGCGUGGGGAGCAAACAGG
This 253-nucleotide ribosomal RNA is filed under the name uncultured bacterium. Its description in RNAcentral is "partial 16S ribosomal RNA". It matches the Rfam family "Bacterial small subunit ribosomal RNA", at positions 524 to 776 of the family's 1533-position model. The record is from RNAcentral.